GUGGGGAAUAUUGGGCAAUGGGGGAAACCCUGACCCAGCAACGCCGCGUGAGGGAAGAAGGUUUUCGGAUUGUAAACCUCUGUCCUUGGUGAUGAAGGAAGUGACGGUAACCAAGGAGGAAGCCCCGGCUAACUACGUGCCAGCAGCCGCGGUAAUACGUAGGGGGCAAGCGUUGUCCGGAAUGGCUGGGCGUAAAGGGCGUGUAGGCGGCCGAUUAAGUCUGGAGUGAAAGUCCUGCUUUCAAGGUGGGAAUUGCUUUGGAGACUGGUUGGCUUGAGUGCGGAAGAGGUAAGUGGAAUUCCCAGUGUAGCGGUGAAAUGCGUAGAGAUUGGGAGGAACACCAGUGGCGAAGGCGACUUACUGGGCCGUAACUGACGCUGAGGCGCGAAAGCGUGGGGAGCGAACAGGAUUAGAUACCCUUGUAGUCC
This 428-nucleotide ribosomal RNA is filed under the name uncultured bacterium. RNAcentral describes it as "partial 16S ribosomal RNA". It matches the Rfam family "Bacterial small subunit ribosomal RNA", at positions 354 to 796 of the family's 1533-position model. The record is from RNAcentral.